GGUACAUAUAUGAGUUGCCCUCGGUGCGGUGAGAUGGAAGAGUCGAUUAACCAUCUUCUCUUUCAUUGUCCACCUUCACGCCAGAUUUGGGCGCUAUCGCCUAUUCCCUCUUCAGGGAAUAUUUUCCCUAGAAAUUCCCUCUUUUAUAAUUUCGAUUUUCUUCUUUG
This 167-nucleotide small RNA is filed under the name Arabidopsis thaliana (thale cress). RNAcentral describes it as "ATSL095610". Lineage: Eukaryota; Viridiplantae; Streptophyta; Magnoliopsida; Brassicales; Brassicaceae. The record is from RNAcentral.